GGACCCGACCGCUAUGGGGGUGGGACUAAGCCAUGCAAGUCGCGCGCCCCAGGCUAUGGUGGGGCGCGGCGGACGGCUCCGUAAAACGUGGCUAACCUACCCUCAGGACGGGGAUAACCCCGGGAAACUGGGGCUAAUCCCCGAUAGGGGGAAAGACCUGGAAGGGCUUUCCUCCGAAAUGGUGUUAAGGCCAUGCCCCUUAACACCGCCUGAGGAUGGGGCCACGGCCCAUCAGGUUGUUGGUGGGGUAACGGCCCACCAAGCCUAUAACGGGUACGGGCCGUGAGAGCGGGAGCCCGGAGAUGGGCACUGAGACAAGGGCCCAGGCCCUACGGGGCGCAGCAGGCGCGAAAACUCCGCAAUGCGCGAAAGCGCGACGGGGUCACCCCCAGUGCCAUCCGCUAAGGAUGGCUUUUCCCCGGUGUAAGGAGCCGGGGGUAAUAAGCGGGGGGCAAGCCUGGUGUCAGCCGCCGCGGUAAUACCAGCCCCGCGAGUGGUCGGGACGUUUAUUGGGCCUAAAGCGUCCGUAGCCGGCCCAAUAAGUCCUCGGCUAAAGCCCACGGCUCAACCGUGGGACGGCCGAGGAUACUGUUGGGCUAGGAGGCGGGAGAGGCCGAGGGUACUUCCGGGGUAGGGGCGAAAUCCUAUAAUCCCGGAAGGACCACCAGUGGCGAAGGCGCUCGGCUGGAACGCGCUCGACGGUGAGGGACGAAAGCCGGGGGAGCGAAGGGGAUUAGAUACCCCCGUAGUCCCGGCUGUAAACGAUGCGGGCUAGGUGUUGGGUGGGCUUCGAGCCCACCCAGUGCCGCAGCGAAGGCAUUAAGCCCGCCGCCUGGGGAGUACGGCCGCAAGGCUGAAACUUAA
RNAcentral lists this ribosomal RNA (864 nucleotides) under uncultured crenarchaeote. Its description in RNAcentral is "bacterial SSU rRNA". It matches the Rfam family "Archaeal small subunit ribosomal RNA", at positions 19 to 859 of the family's 1478-position model. Lineage: Archaea; Thermoproteati; Thermoproteota. The record is from RNAcentral.